This is a small nuclear RNA of Ictalurus punctatus (channel catfish), 155 nucleotides long. Its record names the gene U12. It matches the Rfam family "U12 minor spliceosomal RNA". Rfam says of the family: Although the U12 sequence is very divergent from that of U2, the two are functionally analogous. The record is from Ensembl. Lineage: Eukaryota; Metazoa; Chordata; Actinopteri; Siluriformes; Ictaluridae.
AAGCCUUAAACUGAUGAGUAAGGAAAAUACUGAUGUGGAGUGGCGCCCAUGUCCUCAUGCAUGUACACAAGAAGAAUUUCUGAAAGGAUACAGGUCUGUCUGUUGAGGUAACUCUUCUGCAUCAUGAGAUGCCUCGCAGAACCAGAAUCUGUCAC